RNAcentral lists this ribosomal RNA (674 nucleotides) under uncultured bacterium. Its description in RNAcentral is "bacterial SSU rRNA". It matches the Rfam family "Bacterial small subunit ribosomal RNA", at positions 555 to 1231 of the family's 1533-position model. The record is from RNAcentral.
UGGGCGUAAGGGUUCGUAGGUGGUGCGGCAAGUUGGAAGUGAAAUCUCUGGGCUUAACCCAGAGGCUGCUUUCAAAACUGCCGCGCUCGAGUGCGAGAGAGGUCAGUGGAAUUGCAGGUGUAGCGGUGAAAUGCGUAGAUAUCUGCAGGAACACCCGUGGCGAAGGCGGCUGACUGGAUCGCAACUGACACUGAGGAACGAAAGCUGGGGGAGCAAACAGGAUUAGAUACCCUGGUAGUCCUAGCCCUAAACCAUCGGAACUUGGGGUGGCCCGCGUAGGCGGGUCGUCCCGUAGCUAACGCGUUAAGUUCCGCGCCUGGGGAGUACGGUCGCAAGACUGAAACUCAAAGGAAUUGACGGGGGCCCGCACAAGCGGUGGAACAUGUGGUUCAAUUCGACGCAACGCGAAGAACCUUACCUGGGCUUGAACCGCUACGGACCAGCGAUAGAAAUAUUGCCUUCCCGCAAGGGACCGUAGUAGAGGUGCUGCAUGGCUGUCGUCAGCUCGUGCCGUGAGGUGUUGGGUUAAGUCCCGCAACGAGCGCAACCCUUACUCGUAGUUGCUACCCGCAAGGGAGAACUCUACGAGGACUGCUCCGGAUAACGGAGAGGAAGGUGGGGAUGACGUCAAGUCAGCACGGCCUUUAUGUCCAGGGCUACACACGUGUUACAAU